Molecule: ribosomal RNA, 193 nt
Filed under: Planctomycetaceae bacterium
Lineage: Bacteria; Pseudomonadati; Planctomycetota; Planctomycetia; Planctomycetales; Planctomycetaceae
Description: partial 16S ribosomal RNA
Rfam family: Bacterial small subunit ribosomal RNA
Source: RNAcentral
AAUCAAUUGAAGGGUUUGAUUCUGGCUCAGAAUGAACGUUGGCGGCGUGGAUUAGGCAUGCAAGUCGAGCGAGAAGUUUACUUCGGUAAAUGGACAGCGGCGAAAGGGACAGUAAUGUGUAGGUACCUACCCCCCGAUCUGGGAUAGCUGCGGGAAACUGCAGGUAAUACCGGAUAAUGUCUUCGGACCAAAG